RNAcentral lists this ribosomal RNA (262 nucleotides) under uncultured archaeon. RNAcentral describes it as "partial 16S ribosomal RNA". It matches the Rfam family "Archaeal small subunit ribosomal RNA", at positions 748 to 1008 of the family's 1478-position model. The record is from RNAcentral.
UGGCCGUAAACGAUGUGGACUUGGUGUUGGAAUGGCUCCGAGCUGCUCCAGUGCCGAAGGGAAGCUGUUAAGUCCACCGCCUGGGAAGUACGGUCGCAAGACUGAAACUUAAAGGAAUUGGCGGGGGGAGCACCACAACGCGUGGAGCCUGCGGUUUAAUUGGAUUCAACGCCGAAAAACUCACCAGCAGCGACUGUUACAUGAAAGUCAGGUUGAUGACCUUACUAGAUUUUCAGAGAGGUGGUGCAUGGCGUCAGUGACU